UACGGAGGAUCCGAGCGUUAUCCGGAUUUAUUGGGUUUAAAGGGUGCGCAGGCGGGAGAUUAAGUCGGCGGUGAAAUUUUGCAGCUCAACUGUAAAAGUGCCUUCGAAACUGGUUUCCUUGAGUGUAGAUGAAGUAGGCGGAAUUUGUGGUGUAGCGGUGAAAUGCAUAGAUAUCACGAGGAACUCCGAUUGCGCAGGCAGCUUACUAAACUACUACUGACGCUCAGGCACGAAAGCGUGGGUAGCAAACAGGAUUAGAUACCCCCGUAGU
RNAcentral lists this ribosomal RNA (271 nucleotides) under uncultured prokaryote. RNAcentral describes it as "partial 16S ribosomal RNA". It matches the Rfam family "Bacterial small subunit ribosomal RNA", at positions 524 to 794 of the family's 1533-position model. The record is from RNAcentral.